RNAcentral lists this unclassified non-coding RNA (253 nucleotides) under uncultured fungus. RNAcentral's name for it is "partial contains small subunit ribosomal RNA, internal transcribed spacer 1, and 5.8S ribosomal RNA". The stretch from base 1 to 73 matches the Rfam family "Eukaryotic small subunit ribosomal RNA", at positions 1759 to 1831 of the family's 1831-position model. The record is from RNAcentral. Lineage: Eukaryota; Fungi.
GCAAACUUGGUCAUUUAGAGGAAGUAAAAGUCGUAACAAGGUCUCCGUUGGUGAACCAGCGGAGGGAUCAUUAGAGAGUAUAAAAACUCCCAACCCAUGUGAACAUACCUAGCGUUGCCUCGCCGGUGGGCCACCCCCCGCCGGCGAAGGCCCCGUAAACUCUGUUUUAUUUUGGAACUCUGAAUCGUAAAGCAAAUAAGUUAAAACUUUCAACAACGGAUCUCUUGGUUCUGGCAUCGAUGAAGAACGCAGC